Molecule: long non-coding RNA, 1093 nt
Organism: Ictalurus punctatus (channel catfish)
Lineage: Eukaryota; Metazoa; Chordata; Actinopteri; Siluriformes; Ictaluridae
Source: Ensembl
AAAAAAAAACCUCGUGUACGGGCUGUUAAAGCACGCUCUAAAGACUACUAAACUCGGCGUGCAUGAAGUGAUGAGAGAAUUGAAACACUUUUUGGUAGAUAUAUUAGACACGUGAUUGUGAUGGUAAGCUCAAUUCGUAAGUCUUCUGACAGUCUGCGGUCACGUACUGACACUCUUGCAGCUGCUCACACAAUCUGUACAGCCACUCCCGCAGUCUGUACUGCUGUUAGCGCCUACUCAUGUAGGAUGUCUUGCCACUCUUACCGUCCAUAGUGCCACUCUUGUGUUCUGUCUCUCGUGGACUGUACAGACUCUCUCGCGGCACUCUGCUGCCGCUCCCUCUGCACUCUUGCGUAACGUACCUUCACCAGCACAAAGUGGCACUCACGCGGCCCGUUCUGCUGCCAUCGCAGUCUUUCCACCAGAGCAUUAUCGAUUAGUAGUCGGGCUGCGGUGCGGCAUGGAACAAGUGUACUCAUCGCCGUACUUCUGUUCCGAAAACACACAUCAAACCGAAAUCGUGUCCCAAACGACGUACUGUUCGUGUACUUACACUAUGCACUAUGACCUCUACCGGAAGCAGAUCUACAAGCUGUAUAGAUUUGAAUGUCAUCGGCAUAACGGUGGUAACUGAAGCCGUGGCAGCGAAUAAGUUGACCCGGUGGGAGUGUUUGGUAGAGGUCCAAGAACUGAUCCCUGAGGGACACCUGAUUUCAUAGCGACAGUAGGCGACUGUUAGUCCUGCAUUGAAAUGUAAAGCGGUCUAUCCGUAAGAUAUGAAGUAAGCCUGCAAAGAGCAGCACCCGUGACACCAAUAUCCGAGAGGCAGGAGAGAAGUAAGUCAUGACGGACCGUAUCGAACCAGAUGGAAAGAGAACCAUAGUCACACUUUAUAGUUCCCUUUUUUCUUUUUAUUGGACACGCUGGCAUGGCACUGCUGGACACUAUAGUGUUACUGAACUGCAGUGGUGGAUGGACUGGAGAGCGAGAGAGAGCGAGCGAGAGAGAGAGAGAGAGGUCGACUGUGAAGACCGCCAACAGAGAAAAUUGAAGGGUCUCCUUGGCAGAAAGGGAGACCAAUCAGGAUGCGCUG